Malania oleifera is the source of this 88-nucleotide small nucleolar RNA. RefSeq annotates it as small nucleolar RNA snoR27. Lineage: Eukaryota; Viridiplantae; Streptophyta; Magnoliopsida; Santalales; Ximeniaceae. The transcript has a single exon. The record is from RefSeq and is a predicted model, not a curated record.
CCUGAGUCAGUGAUGUUACUUAGAAACUGUGUUAUCUAUCUGUAACUUCCUAAAGGGAAUUGAAAAUUUUAACUUGCUGAGAUCCAAU